UCCGAGUUGACCCCGGCAGUCUCCUAUGAGUCCCCGCCAUAACGCGCUGGCAACAUAGAACGAGGGUUGCGCUCGUUGCGGGACUUAACCCAACAUCUCACGACACGAGCUGACGACAACCAUGCACCACCUGUGAACCGGCCCCGAAGGGAAGGAAUCCAUCUCUGGAAGCCGUCCUGCCAUGUCAAAGGCUGGUAAGGUUCUGCGCGUUGCUUCGAAUUAAACCACAUGCUCCACCGCUUGUGCGGGCCCCCGUCAAUUCCUUUGAGUUUCAGCCUUGCGGCCGUACUCCCCAGGCGGGGCACUUGACGCGUAAGCUGCGACACGGAAGGGGCCGAUCCCCCCCGCAUCCAGUGCCCAUCGUUUACGGCGUGGACUAC
This 380-nucleotide unclassified non-coding RNA is filed under the name uncultured bacterium. RNAcentral's name for it is "contains 16S-23S intergenic spacer region". The record is from RNAcentral.